AUUAGCCAUGCAUGUCUCAGUACAAGCCACAUUAAGGUGAAACCGCGAAAGGCUCAUUAAAUCAGUUAUGGUUCCUUAGAUCGUACCCACAUUUACUUGGAUAACUGUGGUAAUUCUAGAGCUAAUACAUGCAAACAGAGUUCCGACCGGAGACGGGAGGAAUGCUUUUAUUAGAUCAAAACCAAUCGGCGGCGGGCCUCGGUCCGUUCGCCGCUCAAUUUGGUGACUCUGAAUAACUUUCGGCUGAUCGCACGGUCUCGCACCGGCGACGCAUCUUUCAAAUGUCUGCCUUAUCAACUGUCGAUGGUAGGUUCUGCGCCUACCAUGGUCGUAACGGGUAACGGGGAAUCAGGGUUCGAUUCCGGAGAGGGAGCCUGAGAAACGGCUACCACAUCCAAGGAAGGCAGCAGGCGCGCAAAUUACCCACUCCCGGCACGGGGAGGUAGUGACGAAAAAUAACGAUACGGGACUCAUCCGAGGCCCCGUAAUCGGAAUGAGUACACUUUAAAUCCUUUAACGAGGAUCAAUUGGAGGGCAAGUCUGGUGCCAGCAGCCGCGGUAAUUCCAGCUCCAAUAGCGUAUAUUAAAGUUGUUGCGGUUAAAAAGCUCGUAGUUGAAUCUGUGUCUCGCGCUGUCGGUUCGCCGCCCGCGGCGUUAAACUGGCACGCCCGCGAGACGUCCUGCCGGUGGGGACCGCGCGCCGUCGCCUCGGCGUUCGGCGCGCGUCCCGACUUGAAAUCCUACCGCGGUGCUCUUCGCUGAGUGUCGAGGUGGGCCGGCACGUUUACUUUGAACAAAUUAGAGUGCUCAAAGCAGGCUAAAACUUCGCCUGAAUACUGUGUGCAUGGAAUAAUGGGAACAGGACCUCGGUUCUAUUUUGUUGGUUUUCGGAACCCCGAGGUAAUGAUUAAUAGGGACAGAUGGGGGGCAUUCGUAUUGCGACGUUAGAGGUGAAAUUCUUGGAUCGUCGCAAGACGGACAGAAGCGAAAGCAUUUGCCAAAAAUGUUUUCAUUUA
This 1016-nucleotide ribosomal RNA is filed under the name Rhantus suturalis. RNAcentral's name for it is "SSU rRNA". It matches the Rfam family "Eukaryotic small subunit ribosomal RNA", at positions 44 to 976 of the family's 1831-position model. The record is from RNAcentral. Lineage: Eukaryota; Metazoa; Arthropoda; Insecta; Coleoptera; Dytiscidae.